ACGGAAGGCAGCAGUGGGGAAUAUUGCACAAUGGGGGAAACCCUGAUGCAGCGACGCCGCGUGAGUGAAGAAGUAUUUCGGUAUGUAAAGCUCUAUCAGCAGGGAAGAAAAUGACGGUACCUGACUAAGAAGCCCCGGCUAACUACGUGCCAGCAGCCGCGGUAAUACGUAGGGGGCAAGCGUUAUCCGGAAUUACUGGGUGUAAAGGGUGUGUAGGCGGAGAAGCAAGUCAGGCGUGAAAUACACGGGCUCAACCCGUGAACUGCGCUUGAAACUGUUUCCCUUGAGAGUGGGAGAGGUAAACGGAAUUCCUGGUGUAGUAGUGAAAUGCGUAGAUAUCAGGAGGAACACCGGUGGCGAAGGCGGUUUACUGGACCACAACUGACGCUGAGACACGAAAGCGUGGGGAGCAAACAGGAUUAGAUACCCUGGUA
RNAcentral lists this ribosomal RNA (434 nucleotides) under uncultured Oscillospiraceae bacterium. RNAcentral describes it as "bacterial SSU rRNA". It matches the Rfam family "Bacterial small subunit ribosomal RNA", at positions 341 to 792 of the family's 1533-position model. Lineage: Bacteria; Bacillati; Bacillota; Clostridia; Eubacteriales; Oscillospiraceae. The record is from RNAcentral.